Molecule: ribosomal RNA, 253 nt
Filed under: uncultured bacterium
Lineage: Bacteria
Description: partial 16S ribosomal RNA
Rfam family: Bacterial small subunit ribosomal RNA
Source: RNAcentral
UACGGGGGGGGUAAGCGUUGUUCGGAAUUACUGGGCGUAAAGGGCUCGUAGGCGGCCAACUAAGUCAUACGUGAAAUCCCUCAGCUUAACUGGGGAACUGCGUGUGAUACUGGAUGGCUUGGAUUUGGGAGAGGGAUGCGGAAUUCCAGGUGUAGCGGUGAAAUGCGUAGAUAUCUGGAGGAACACCAGAGGCGAAGGCGGCGACCUGGACAGGCACUGACACUAAACUACGAAAGCGUGGGGAGCAAACAGG